UCCGACUAAGAAACUCAAAUCUGACUAGAGUCAGAUGGAAUGCUUCUACUACAAGAAGUAGCGGUACUGAAAAAGGAACUAUCCUCAAUAUAUUGCCUCUCUGGAUCCGAGCAAGUCGAGAAAGAAACAAGUUGUUGCUGGACAAGGUAAUUAUAUGAUAACAUCUUGUAAUUUUUUAAUUUGUGAUUCUACUAUCUGGAUAUUAGAUACCAAAAACUCUUUUAAUAUUUGUAAUUUGUUGUAGGGUUUACAAGUCAGUAGG
This 262-nucleotide long non-coding RNA is filed under the name Elaeis guineensis (African oil palm). RNAcentral describes it as "long non-coding RNA (EGUI_LNC070123)". Lineage: Eukaryota; Viridiplantae; Streptophyta; Magnoliopsida; Arecales; Arecaceae. The record is from RNAcentral.